UCCUUAUCUCUACAUCUUAUCUUCUUGAACUACCCACCACCACACGUAUUCUUUUGUUCUCUCUCCUCCAUGUAACUUUGUCUCAUGGUCUUACUAGUUAAGAGAAGACCAUUUUCAUUCGGGUUCAGGCGCCCGGCCGACCACGUUCAGACCAACUCGGGAGGAUUUGGUGACCUGGGCACCUGCGGCGUGGUGCUCGGCCUUGUACAUCGGGCGGUGGCCUGCAUCCCUACCGAAGAAAGCCGAAUCUCUCGACCUGCUACUUCUUGAUAGUUCGACCUGCUUUUUCUUCAGAGUCCGACCUGCUACUUCGUCAUGCAGGAUGGAGCACGACAUGGUUGGCUUGAUGGGAAACCUUGUUGAGGAAAUAGUUGUCCUCGAAUGCAGCCAAUAUGAUAGAAUGGCCUCGAUGCAGAUGGACCGACGGGGAACGCAAUGAGAAAAGGAACAACAGGGAGAGAUGGCUGCCCGCUAGGACUUCUUGCCAGCGAGGCGUUGGACUGCCCGCACAGAAUGGUGGGGCAGAAGCUUGUGGAUGGUGCAGAUGGCACAGCGACGACUUCUGCUUGGGGGCGCGAUGGUGGUCAGUCGGUGACCCCGAGAGCACCGACACCCUUUAAUUGCAACGGUGACACUUCUCAAGAUCGUGCGAGGGCCGUCCAUGGCGCAUGCUGGUGGUGCAGGGCGCGUCGACGGUGGAGAUGGCCCCGGAGGCAUCCAAUCCAGAUGACCGGCAGCGGCGGCGGCCUGUGAUAUCUCUGGUUAGUAGAACACAGGCUUCGAGGGGCGUGAUGCUCGCUGGCUGGGGCGCCGCGCGCUGAUGGUGGUGCCGCUACGGGUGGGGCCGCGCGUGGCCGCGGGAGUAGGCGGGAUCCGGCAAGGGGGCGGCGCUGGGGUGGGGGAACAGGGGAAGAGGCCAUGGCGGAGCGG
RNAcentral lists this ribosomal RNA (930 nucleotides) under Triticum aestivum (bread wheat). Its description in RNAcentral is "partial small subunit ribosomal RNA". The record is from RNAcentral. Lineage: Eukaryota; Viridiplantae; Streptophyta; Magnoliopsida; Poales; Poaceae.